GCUGGCGUAGCUCAGCAGGUAGAGCAGCUGCCUUGUAAGCAGCAGGUCGCGGGUUCGAAUCCCACCGCCAGCUCCA
RNAcentral lists this transfer RNA (76 nucleotides) under Anaeromyxobacteraceae bacterium. RNAcentral's name for it is "tRNA-Thr". It matches the Rfam family "tRNA". From Rfam's summary of the family: Transfer RNA (tRNA) molecules are approximately 80 nucleotides in length. Their secondary structure includes four short double-helical elements and three loops (D, anti-codon, and T loops). The record is from RNAcentral. RNAcentral also lists the same sequence under 2 other names. Lineage: Bacteria; Pseudomonadati; Myxococcota; Myxococcia; Myxococcales; Anaeromyxobacteraceae.